This 257-nucleotide ribosomal RNA is filed under the name uncultured bacterium. Its description in RNAcentral is "partial 16S ribosomal RNA". It matches the Rfam family "Bacterial small subunit ribosomal RNA", at positions 524 to 777 of the family's 1533-position model. The record is from RNAcentral.
UACGAAGGGGGCUAGCGUUGUCCGGAAUCACUGGGCGUAAAGGGCGCGUAGGUGGUGGCUUAAGCGUGCGGUGAAAGCUCGGAGCUCAACUCCGAGUCGGCCGUGCGAACUGGGCUCACUGGAGCAUAGUAGAGGCAGGUGGAAUUCCGGGUGUAGCGGGUGGAAUGCGUAGAGAUCCGGAAGAACACCGGUGGCGAAGGCGGCCUGCUGGGCUAUGGCUGACACUGAGGCGCGGACAGCGUGGGGAGCAAACAGGG